CGCGUAGGCGGCUCCAAAAGUCAGGGGUGAAAUCCGGCAGCUUAACUGUCGCAGUGCCUUUGAUACUGUGGAGCUAGAGGGAGGUAGGGGUCUGUGGAACUUCCGGUGGAGCGGUGAAAUGCGUUGAUAUCGGAAGGAACGCCGGUGGCGAAAGCGACGGACUGGAUCUCUUCUGACGCUGAGGCGCGAAAGCCAGGGAGCAAACG
Molecule: ribosomal RNA, 206 nt
Filed under: uncultured bacterium
Lineage: Bacteria
Description: partial 16S ribosomal RNA
Rfam family: Bacterial small subunit ribosomal RNA
Source: RNAcentral